GCACUGCUGAGGAGUUCCACAAUAGGACGAAAUGGUUGUCCAGUGU
Molecule: non-coding RNA, 46 nt
Organism: Schistosoma margrebowiei
Lineage: Eukaryota; Metazoa; Platyhelminthes; Trematoda; Strigeidida; Schistosomatidae
Source: Rfam